RNAcentral lists this ribosomal RNA (314 nucleotides) under uncultured Bacillota bacterium. RNAcentral's name for it is "bacterial SSU rRNA". It matches the Rfam family "Bacterial small subunit ribosomal RNA", at positions 28 to 351 of the family's 1533-position model. Lineage: Bacteria; Bacillati; Bacillota. The record is from RNAcentral.
GAUGAACGCUGGCGGCGUGCCUAACACAUGCAAGUUGAGCGAUCUUCUUCGGAAGAGAGCGGCGGACGGGUGAGUAACGCGUGGGUAACCUACCCUGUACACACGGAUAACAUACCGAAAGGUAUGCUAAUACGAGAUAAUAUGUUUCAUUCGCAUGUUUGAAACAUCAAAGCUCCGGCGGUAUGGGAUGGACCCGCGUCUGAUUAGCUAGUUGGUGAGGUAACGGCUCACCAAGGCGACGAUCAGUAGCCGACCUGAGAGGGUGAUCGGCCACAUUGGAACUGAGACACGGUCCAAACACCUACGGGUGGCUG